Molecule: non-coding RNA, 24 nt
Filed under: Cricetulus griseus (Chinese hamster)
Lineage: Eukaryota; Metazoa; Chordata; Mammalia; Rodentia; Cricetidae
Source: RNAcentral
AAUAACUAAAGUGAAAGUGACUGU